RNAcentral lists this ribosomal RNA (711 nucleotides) under Bacillus sp. B32. Its description in RNAcentral is "bacterial SSU rRNA". It matches the Rfam family "Bacterial small subunit ribosomal RNA", at positions 10 to 706 of the family's 1533-position model. Lineage: Bacteria; Bacillati; Bacillota; Bacilli; Caryophanales; Bacillaceae. The record is from RNAcentral.
AGUUUGAUCCUGGCUCAGGACGAACUUUGGCGGCGUGCCUAAUACAUGCAAGUCGAGCGGACCGAUGGGAGCUUGCUCCCUUAGGUCAGCGGCGGACGGGUGAGUAACACGUGGGUAACCUGCCUGUAAGACUGGGAUAACUCCGGGAAACCGGGGCUAAUACCGGAUGCUUGAUUGAACCGCAUGGUUCAAUCAUAAAAGGUGGCUUUCAGCUACCACUUACAGAUGGACCCGCGGCGCAUUAGCUAGUUGGUGAGGUAACGGCUCACCAAGGCGACGAUGCGUAGUCGACCUGAGAGGGUGAUCGGCCACACUGGGACUGAGACACGGCCCAAACUCCUACGGGAGGCAGCAGUAGGGAAUCUUCCGCAAUGGACAAAAGUCUGACGGAGCAACCCGCGUGAGUGAUGAAGGUUUUCGGAUCGAAAAACUCUGUUGUUAGGGAAAACAAGUUCCGUUCGAAUAGGGCGGUACCUUGACGGUCCUAACCAUGAAAGCCACGGUUAACUACGUGCCAGCAGCCGCGGUAAUACGUAGGUGCAAGCGUUGUCCGGAAUUAUUGGGCGUAAAGCGCGCGCAGGCGGUUUCUUAAGUCUGAUGUGAAAGCCCCCGGCUCAACCGGGGNGGGUCAUUGGAAACUGGGGAACUUGAGUGCAGAAGAGGAGAGUGGAAUUCCACGUGUAGCGGUGAAAUGCGUAGAGAUGGGAGGAA